Molecule: long non-coding RNA, 1968 nt
Filed under: Homo sapiens (human)
Lineage: Eukaryota; Metazoa; Chordata; Mammalia; Primates; Hominidae
Description: HSALNT0299398
Source: RNAcentral
GGCAACAUGCUCAGGUCUCUUACCACGCUGUGGAAGCUUUGUUCUUUCGCUCUUUGCAAUGAAUCCUGCUGCUGCUCACUCUUUGGGUCCACACUGCCUUUAUGAGCUGUAACACUCACUGUGAAGGUCCGCAGCUUCCCUCCUGAGCCAGCGAGACCAGGAACCCACCAGAAGGAAGAAACUCAGAACACAUCCCAACAUCAGAAGGAACAAACUCCAGACGCGCCACCUUAAGAGCUGUAACACUCACCGCGAGGGUCUGCGGCUUCAUUCUUCAAGUCAGUGAGACCAAGAACCCACCAAUUCCGGACACACCAAGUCCUGAGUUCAGAAUUUUGUUUUUGAGAUGAACAUAAAAGCACCUAAAGGUCAAGGAAGAUGUUCUUCCUGUGAUAAGGAACACAAAGCCUGUUUGGUGGUCUCUUCACACGGAAGCGCAUGACACUUCGCUUUAGUGUAGAUGACCACUCCCCUCUGUAAGAGUCCAUUCUAAGUUGUUCUGUCAGUGAAACUCUGUUUAAAACAUGGCUUGUAUGAAGUUGUCAGGAAUCGGCUCUGACACUUGGAUGAUUCUUCAGCUGGCUAUAAAAUUCUAAAAUCAGAGUAACCGUGUAUUGACUUCCAACAUUCCACAUUUCCAAAGGUGUUUCCUGUGAUCUCUGGGAUCCUGAUCCGCACCACUCAACUUUGGCCUCCUAAACUUCAUCCUUGACCCCACCCCAGCUAUCAUAGUGUGAAAUUUCACAGCCAAAACUUCUGCAUCAGCUUCAUAAGGCAGGAAGCCUACAAAUUCCCCUCUUAUGUUUUGAGACUCAUCAACAAACCUCACCGAGACUCAUCAACAAAUCUCACCAACAUAGGACCUCUUGACCAGAAUUUAUCCAGCACUCCAGCACGGCUUGCACGUUAUCUGGAGUAAAGAGACCUUCUGGGAUUUCAUCAGCCUCCUGUCCAUCAAGAGUUCUUCCAGUUUUUGACUGACUGAAUUUUCAGUGAACUGUGUGUCUAACUGAAGCUUUGAGAGAGAGAGAGAGAGAAAGAAGGAAAAAAAGAAAAGGUUUUACUUCACUUGAACUUGUUAAAAAGGAAGAGACACAGAUCCAGCAUAGUAGAAGGAGAAAGAAAGCAGACAACAGUUUGGAAUGGAGGCAUUGAGACGGAAGAGUCCAUUGGAGAUGGAAUGUACACACAAAAAUAACAAUUUAGGUCCUUUGCUCAUGCAACAUCUUGUUCUAAUGUCCUCUGCUCCAGGUCACAACAUUGAGCUACAAAGUGUGUGCAGUGACUCCAGUCUGCAUUCAUGCUACAAGAUGAUCCGUUUAGUAAGACUGAGCAAGGCUUGUUAACCUCUUGGACGUGAGAGAUUUCCCCUGAGAAAAUAUAUAAAACAAGAGAAAAGAAAGAAAAUCAAGUACGAUCACUGAAAACCUGCUUAGUAGUAGCAACUAUUUACUGUAGCUGAUUUUUGUGCAAGGUCAACACUGAACCCUUUAAGUCCAUCUUAGUUCAAACCUCAUGACCAACCUGCCUUCCCCCCUCCCUCCCUCCACUGACACGUCAAACAAAACUAUCCUCCCUCCCUCCACCCUCCUACCCCUCCCAAAUCCUUCCUCCCCACUGCAAACAGACUGAUGGUUUCACAGCACAGAUUAGCAAAUCAUAAAACAUAUCCAUAAAUGCUCCAUCAAGGCUUAGCAAUGAAGCAACACCUAGGUUCCCAACUGAUUAUAAACAUGUUACAACAAAUCUUAGUAAGCUGCUCUGAAAGAUAAUGUGAGUGCAUUCUUGUUCAAUGGCUGAAAUUAAUGUCACAUUUAUAAAUAUCUAGAAAUGUAGAGGAUACGAUUUAAUUAAAUAAAAUGCAGUUUUUGAGGGUGUGAUUCAUGAAACUCAAGAUUGAGUCUGUUCCCUAUCUUACAUAAUAAUGGAUAAAAAGGUGCCAAUUAUAUAUCUGAAGAUAAAAGUCUA